AGUGAACGCUGGUGGUAGGCCUAACACAUGCAAGUCGAACGGCAGCACAGUAAGAGCUUGCUCUUACGGGUGGCGAGUGGCGGACGGGUGAGGAAUACAUCGGAAUCUACUUUUUCGUGGGGGAUAACGUAGGGAAACUUACGCUAAUACCGCAUACGACCUACGGGUGAAAGCAGGGGAUCUUCGGACCUUGCGCGAUUGAAUGAGCCGAUGUCGGAUUAGCUAGUUGGCGGGGUAAAGGCCCACCAAGGCGACGAUCCGUAGCUGGUCUGAGAGGAUGAUCAGCCACACUGGAACUGAGACACGGUCCAGACUCCUACGGGAGGCAGCAGUGGGGAAUAUUGGACAAUGGGCGCAAGCCUGAUCCAGCCAUACCGCGUAGGUGAAGAAGGCCUUCGGGCUGUAAAGCCCUUUUGUUGGGAAAGAAAAGCAGCAGGUUAAUACCCCGCUGUUCUGACGGUACCCAAAGAAUAAGCACCGGCUAACUUCGUG
This 492-nucleotide ribosomal RNA is filed under the name uncultured bacterium. Its description in RNAcentral is "partial 16S ribosomal RNA". It matches the Rfam family "Bacterial small subunit ribosomal RNA", at positions 29 to 507 of the family's 1533-position model. The record is from RNAcentral.